AGUAGCAAUACUUUGGUGGCGACCGGCGCACGGGUGAGUAACGCGUAUGCAACCCAUCUAUCAGAGGGGAAUAACCCGGCGAAAGUCGGACUAAUACCGCAUAAAACAGGGGCACCGCAUGGUGAUAUUUGUUAAAGAAAUUCGCUGAUAGAUGGGCAUGCGUUCCAUUAGGUAGUUGGUGAGGUAACGGCUCACCAAGCCGACGAUGGAUAGGGGAACUGAGAGGUUGGUCCCCCACACUGGUACUGAGACACGGACCAGACUCCUACGGGAGGCAGCAGUGAGGAAUAUUGGUCAAUGGGCGAGAGCCUGAACCAGCCAAGUCGCGUGAAGGAAGAAGGAUCUAUGGUUCGUAAACUUCUUUUGCAGGGGAAUAAAGUGCAGGACGUGUCCUGUUUUGUAUGUACCCUGAGAAUAAGGAUCGGCUAACUCCGUGCCAGCAGCCGCGGUAAUACGGAGGAUCCGAGCGUUAUCCGGAUUUAUUGGGUUUAAAGGGUGCGUAGGUGGUUUGAUAAGUCAGCGGUGAAAGUUUGCAGCUUAACUGUAAAAAUGCCGUUGAAACUGUCGGACUUGAGUGUAAAUGAGGUAGGCGGAAUGCGUGGUGUAGCGGUGAAAUGCUUAGAUAUCACGAAGAACUCCGAUUG
Molecule: ribosomal RNA, 644 nt
Filed under: uncultured Bacteroidales bacterium
Lineage: Bacteria; Pseudomonadati; Bacteroidota; Bacteroidia; Bacteroidales
Description: bacterial SSU rRNA
Rfam family: Bacterial small subunit ribosomal RNA
Source: RNAcentral